Molecule: long non-coding RNA, 899 nt
Organism: Choloepus didactylus (southern two-toed sloth)
Lineage: Eukaryota; Metazoa; Chordata; Mammalia; Pilosa; Megalonychidae
Exons: 3
Source: RefSeq, a predicted model, not a curated record
CGCACACGGGCGCACGCAGGAGCGCGCACACGGAUGCGCAGGGGCGCACGGGGACGCCCACGGACGCGCACGGACACAAAGCGCACAGGCACACGGGCGCAGACAGACACACGCACCUCCCACGGAUGCGCACACACCUCGCACAGCCACUUCCUUCCAGGCUCUUUGGGGCCUGCGCUGGAAGUAAUACUCAGAUAACUGCAGCUCCCAGAGUUAUUAACCCCUUGUCCACACACACUAUACAAUGAAUUCCAGAAAAGGAAAACAAAAUCCUCUUUCAAAAGGGUGCCCUGUUCUGCUUGGAGCAGGAGAGCCAAGGGCCACGGGCUUGUCUUUCCCCGCCAAGCAGGGGUACUUGUUGCUGUGCUUUUCUCUUCUUGGUAUCUGGAAUGUUCCCCUGAGCCUGGAGAUUUAACAAGGAUUUUCCAGAAUUUACCACUUCAGAGAGAAGUUCUGAACAACCAAGGAAUAAAAGUGUUUUUAAGUUAUCAAGUGUCUGAAGAAUUCUGAAGUAGGAAAUGGUGGCAGGUUCUUUCCCACGUCCGCCGGAUCUUCAGCUGGACAUGAGGGAUUCCGGAGACGCUGCCCUCAGGCUCUCUUCCCCUCAGCUCACCGAGCGGCCUAUCUGGAGGGGAGCCUUUCAUUUCCGCUCCACCACUGCCAGUCCCACAAGGCUUUGUUUUCCAGCUUUACUUCGGAAAUGCCUCCCAGGGUCACGUCUUCCCUCGCGCUGGCUCUGCACCACAAAUCCAGGGUGGAACAAUGGCCACUGGAGCUGUGUCUGGCUGAGGACCUGCGGCUGCCCAGAGGAGGACACACUGACCUGGGGGUGCCCCCACCGCAGCUUCCCCGCGUGGAGGCACUAAAAUGAGCUGCAAAAAUAGAAACGUUAUCGCAAU